RNAcentral lists this ribosomal RNA (467 nucleotides) under uncultured bacterium. RNAcentral describes it as "partial 16S ribosomal RNA". It matches the Rfam family "Bacterial small subunit ribosomal RNA", at positions 29 to 507 of the family's 1533-position model. The record is from RNAcentral.
ACGAACGCUGGCGGCGUGCUUAACACAUGCAAGUCGAACGGAAAGGCCCUGCUUUUGUGGGGUGCUCGAGUGGCGAACGGGUGAGUAACACGUGAGUAACCUGCCCUUGACUUUGGGAUAACUUCAGGAAACUGGGGCUAAUACCGGAUAGGAGCUCCUGUUGCAUGGUGGGGGUUGGAAAGUUUCGGCGGUUGGGGAUGGACUCGCGGCUUAUCAGCUUGUUGGUGGGGUAGUGGCUUACCAAGGCUUUGACGGGUAGCCGGCCUGAGAGGGUGACCGGCCACAUUGGGACUGAGAUACGGCCCAGACUCCUACGGGAGGCAGCAGUGGGGAAUAUUGCACAAUGGGCGGAAGCCUGAUGCAGCAACGCCGCGUGCGGGAUGACGGCCUUCGGGUUGUAAACCGCUUUCGCCUGUGACGAAGCGUGAGUGACGGUAAUGGGUAAAGAAGCACCGGCUAACUACGUG